UCAUGUACCUGCUGAAGGUCCUUGCUGCCCUGCCCACCUGGCACCUUCCAUCAGCUGAUCUGUGAUACAUGGAACAGUAGAAAGCUGACAUGCUUUGGUUACCAUGUGGCUUCCAGAUAUUUUUGUAGGUCUCUGAACUCCAGGAACGUGAUAAGAGAAUAUUGGUUGGAUAUAUUUCCAGGAGAACCCCAUAUGGCAUCUUCCAGCUCCCAGGUUGAGAACACAUUUGUCUCAGGCCAUUUUAACACAGCAGUCAAGAAAGACAAGGAAGUACCAGAGAGUCCAUCAGAGGGCUAUAGAGAUGAUCAGGUGUCUCCAGGUUGGGCUUGGUUAGCAUUUUGCAUGUAAAUUACCCUCUGUCUGUACACUUUUUGAGGUAACACUGAUGGUCUUGCUGUUUGUUUUCUUAUCUCAU
RNAcentral lists this long non-coding RNA (415 nucleotides) under Cyanistes caeruleus (blue tit). Its description in RNAcentral is "lncRNA (ENSCCEG00000017384.1)". The record is from RNAcentral. Lineage: Eukaryota; Metazoa; Chordata; Aves; Passeriformes; Paridae.